CCUCUUUUUAAGCUCCUUCCACCUCCAUCUAUACGACUAGCCCAUCUGAAAAUAGAAACAACCUCACACAGAGAGAGAGGAUCAAUAAAAGAACAAGAACAAAAAAUGAGUGAGUGUAAACGAUGCACUGUCACAAUUGUGCCUAUGGAGGAAGCAUCUUCAAGUGAACCCACCAUUUCCAAGAAACGCAAGACCUCCCAGUUACGCUCUUCCGACACGCACCACUGGUUUUUCGACACUACCGUGUCGCCGGAAGCUUCCGUCAAUUCCGCCGGCACCGUGGUUUCUGGUGAACCUUGCUCUGAUCGCUCGUGCUGUAGCUCUAGCCACGUUAAGGAGCUCCACACUGCGCCGUUAGAUCUGCAGACCAAGGGUUUCAAAACGGUACAUUCAACCAAGCACAAUUUCAAAUCGUCCAGCUUGUUGAGUGAGUUUUCUGGAGACUCGGAAGAAUCGACGAUGUUUCCGGCGAAGUCUUCGGCGGAGGUGACCGAGAAACGAAAAGUCAAGGAACCGGCGAAGGCGGAGAUCGAAGAGUUUUUCGCAAUGGCUGAAAAGUACGAGCAGAAGCGAUUCGUAGAGAAGUACAACUUUGAUAUUGUUAGAGAUAUGCCGUUGGAGGGUCGCUACCAGUGGGUUCGUUUACAUUGAAUGCUUUGAAUGAGAGAGAGAGAGAGAGAGUUAUUUUAAUUUUAGAGAGAGAUUCAUCGAGGUAGACGGUUAAGGGGAGAAGAGAGAGUGAGUUUAUCGUGCUGGCUAUUAGACACUGGUGACUGGGGAGGUAGCUAACCUAACACGAGGUAAAACGAAAACGAGCGUGCGACUUCUGGUUGCUCCGGAGAGACGGCGAUAGUGCUGGUAGUGGUGUGUUAGUUUUUGUAUAGCUAACUGCUUUCUCUUUUUUUUCUAACAAGAAGCUGGCUAUUCUGCUACUCCGCAUUCAGAUAGAAGUAGUACAAGUGUAGAACCUUCCUUCCUGGUGAGGCGAUGAAGAAAAGAAAAAUCAAUUUGGUUCUGUGGGAAAUAUACAAUUAGAAAACAAAAAUUCCCGCAUUGAAUGGGUGAUCUAGAAUUUGGUCAUUUGGAAUAUCCUCUCCAUCCCGAGCUAUGAUGAUUCCCCUAUUUUUUGUGGGGACCACGUGUGCCUGGUUGCUAAGAAAUGACUGCACAGACUAAUUAAAGUCUUCUACAUCUCAUAUGCGGCUUUAUGAUUGAAUUUGAAGGUAUAUGCUUUGCAUUAUCAAAAUACACAAAAUUAACAACCACUUACAAUGACCACCGAACUUACAACCUACCCUUUUAAUAAACAAAAGGGAGUAAUGACUCUACAAAUCCAUACACCUACCCUACAUGUCUAAAUUUAUGGAUUUGCUCGGUUAAUAAUGGAAACCAUGUUCUCCUUUCGCAUAUUUUCUGUUAGAAUGAAUAGAUACCCAUGUAAUUGAAUCUGGUCCAUUUUGUGAAUGCUAGUGUCUUUUUGGUGAUGAUCUUCAAUUAUUGAAGUUGCUAAAUAUAUAUGUUGAUGAUUUAAAAGAGAUAAAAAGCAGUGAGGAGGUUUAAUUGAAAGUGAAGGGGUAUCGGUUGACAUGAAAAUGGCAUAUAUUGAUUACACAAGGUAUUUCCUAAGUAAGGUUUGAGGAAAUAGAUAGGCAAAAAGUAAAGUAGCUUUUAAUCUUAAUUUUGUAUGUUGCUUAACGGUAGUUGAGUAAAGGAUAUAUGGAGGUGACAUAAUAUUCGUUAGGACAGAGUGAAUUGUAGAAACGAAAAGAAAGUGGGUCCAUAGGUGCCGUGUAGAAUGUCAUGAUUACACACGUGUCAAAAACGGCAGCAGGUGCACCCUUAUCCAUGUCAUCAUGGAUCCAAAUGUGCACUUUCCAGCCUUUCCUUUUUCUAUAUGAUGAACCAAAUAUCGAUAUAAGAUAAAUGAUGCAAGUAGAAGACUUGCACGUGGUGUGCUGCAUUAAUAUCGCCAGGUUUAAUUUGCUUCGGAUCUGCUGCCAUUUUCAAACAGAGUGCACACCACGCAAAAACAGAUAUGCAGAAUUUUUAACUUGCCAUGUUAAAUUUCGCAAAAUCAGUCAAAUUUAUUAUUAUUUCUCAGCUCAGCUCAGGUACUGUAUAUUUAAUCUACUACCUUACAUGUUUAAUAUUUUUUUCUAGUAUGUUA
Molecule: RNA transcript, 2167 nt
Organism: Vigna radiata var. radiata (mung bean)
Lineage: Eukaryota; Viridiplantae; Streptophyta; Magnoliopsida; Fabales; Fabaceae
Gene name: cyclin-dependent kinase inhibitor 7
Exons: 5
Source: RefSeq, a predicted model, not a curated record